This 84-nucleotide transfer RNA is filed under the name Salinicola sp. MIT1003. It matches the Rfam family "tRNA". Rfam says of the family: Transfer RNA (tRNA) molecules are approximately 80 nucleotides in length. Their secondary structure includes four short double-helical elements and three loops (D, anti-codon, and T loops). Further hydrogen bonds mediate the characteristic L-shaped molecular structure. tRNAs have two regions of fundamental functional importance: the anti-codon, which is responsible for specific mRNA codon recognition, and the 3' end, to which the tRNAs corresponding amino acid is attached (by aminoacyl-tRNA synthetases). tRNAs cope with the degeneracy of the genetic code in two manners: having more than one tRNA (with a specific anti-codon) for a particular amino acid; and 'wobble' base-pairing, i.e. permitting non-standard base-pairing at the 3rd anti-codon position. Lineage: Bacteria; Pseudomonadati; Pseudomonadota; Gammaproteobacteria; Oceanospirillales; Halomonadaceae. The record is from Rfam by way of RNAcentral.
GCCCGGAUGGCGAAAUUGGUAGACGCAAGGGACUUAAAAUCCCUCGACCGUUAGGUCGUGUCGGUUCAAGUCCGACUCCGGGCA